Felis catus (domestic cat) is the source of this 595-nucleotide long non-coding RNA. RefSeq lists it as uncharacterized. The transcript has 4 exons. The record is from RefSeq and is a predicted model, not a curated record. NCBI's taxonomy places the organism in Eukaryota, Metazoa, Chordata, Mammalia, Carnivora, Felidae.
UCAGGAAAAGUAAAGGUCCUGCCAAUUCCAGAAGGACAAAGGGUUUCAGCCACUAACAAGGGAACAAAAUGAUCUCAUUGCCCCUUUCCCACUGAGACUGUAAGUGGGAUCCUUCUCAAAUUCAGAGCGCUCACUUACAGGCACAGUCACUGUUUCCACACAAUGGGACCCAUGUGGAAGGACAGCCAAACCAGGAAACAGAUUCCAGAGGCGUGGGCCAGGACUGAACAUGGACUCUCCAAUGACAGGCAUGCAUCUCUGGGGCACUAGACUGUGCUCAACUGUAAUUCCUUGUGACUCCCGCAUGCCUCCAAGAACACAGGACACAGCUUCCGGAUAAGUAGCAUUGCUAAAGCAACUCCGUUUGUAAAUUCACUCUGAGGCCGUGGAUUUCUGGAGACAGAUUAAUCUACACACUUCUUCUAAUUCACUGGGUGUUCAUUCCUUGGUGUCUGCCAGGCACCCGCCUUAGAGCUCUCCAGAAAACCAGACGGCAUCGGGAUGUGUGUCCCGUCUGAAGCCUUUGGCGUUAAUUUCUAAAGCACGGUCGUGAACAUCAACAUCAAAACGCAGCUCCUGUGUAAUAUUAAACGCU